Molecule: long non-coding RNA, 195 nt
Organism: Solea solea (common sole)
Lineage: Eukaryota; Metazoa; Chordata; Actinopteri; Pleuronectiformes; Soleidae
Exons: 3
Source: RefSeq, a predicted model, not a curated record
ACUAUAAAUACCACAGGCUACAAGCACAAGCAGCACCAGAGUCUCCUCUCCGACAUGUUAACAGUUAUGAGACGAAUGUCCUGCUCAAGUUGGAUUCACAACAUCCUAAGUGGAAGGUUUCUGGAAGCUGCAAGUUCACCGUUUGUGACAUUUCUGUGGACAUUUUGAAUGGUUCUAAAGCGCAGAGGAGAGAAG